ACUUGCCACCAUCCUGCUCUUUCGACACUCCGGUCUUGUCUGAUUUUAGAAGCUAAGUAGGGUCGGGCCUGGUCAAGACUUGGAUGAGAGACCUCCAGGAGAUACUAGAGAUCUCCAGGUAGGGCUAGGA
This 130-nucleotide ribosomal RNA is filed under the name Pogona vitticeps (central bearded dragon). Lineage: Eukaryota; Metazoa; Chordata; Lepidosauria; Squamata; Agamidae. The record is from RNAcentral.